This 376-nucleotide unclassified non-coding RNA is filed under the name uncultured Bryobacterales bacterium. RNAcentral's name for it is "contains 16S-23S intergenic spacer region". Lineage: Bacteria; Pseudomonadati; Acidobacteriota; Terriglobia; Bryobacterales. The record is from RNAcentral.
UCCAACUUAUCGCUGGCGGUCUCCUGCGAGUUCCCCCUUUCGGGUGGCAACACAGGACAAGGGUUGCGCUCGUUGCGGGACUUAACCCAACAUCUCACGACACGAGCUGACGACAGCCAUGCAGCACCUCGACCUCACUCCCUUGCGGGAUAGCCGUGUUUCCACGACCGUUGAGAGGCCGUUCGAGCCCAGGUAAGGUUCUUCGCGUUGCGUCGAAUUGAACCACAUGCUCCACCGCUUGUGCGGGCCCCCGUCAAUUCCUUUGAGUUUCAGCCUUGCGACUGUACUCCCCAGGCGGCGCAUUUAACGCGUUAGCUCCGGCACGGACAGAAUGAACUGCCCACACCAAAUGCGCAUCGUUUAGGGCGUGGACUAC